AUGUUUGGCGGUGCCCCUUUGUUUUCUGUCAAAACCUCACCUUUUGUGCCAAAACCUCACCUUCUGGGCAAAGAGGCGAUCGCCCUCGCUGGGAGGGACAUCCCCGCCCUCCCCUUUCCGCGGGCGCUUCCCCCCGCGGGGGGACGGCGGCGAUCCGGGGGUCGCCCGCUCCAGCCCCCGCGCUUGCGGCUCCGCUCGGCUUUGGGGGGGCUCCGGGGGGAGCUGCCGGCCUCGGCCCCGCUGUCAGAGGCAGGGGAGCCGCAGGAGCAGGCGCGGGCCGGGGGCUCCAUGGCGGGGCUGGCCCCCCCAGGGGAGCCUCUCGUUGCGUUCAGCUCCAGCCGAAGCUGCCUGGGGGACGGAGGGAGAGAAACACCGGGGGGAUAUCGGACAAAAAUGGAAGACGAGCAAGGAACUGCCUUGUUCUCCCGUGGGGGUGUCAUCCCCACAGCCCCAGUGCUGCCUCACAUGGGGGGGAAGAUUGGGCAUCUCCUGAGACAGGGUGGGGGUGCAGGGACCAGCUGGCACUGGGACCCUUCACCCAGGACCACCCCCAUUGCCAGGACCACCCCCAGUCCCAGGGGCAUCCCCAGGACCAGCCCCUCUCCCCCCAGCAACCCCCAGCAGCUCCCCCCCCUCCAUCCCCUGCCGCCCCCUCCCCAGGACCGAGAUCCCCCUGCAGGAGACCCCCAGGACCUCCCCCCCUCCCCCGGUCACCCCGGAUCCCACCUGCUCCCGCCUGCACCUGCAGUGGUGCCGCUGUCCCUGUCCCGGUGUCGCUGUUCCCGUCCCUGCCCCAGUGCCGGUAUCACCGUUCCGGUGUCAGUGUCCCGUUGCCGGUAUCGCUGUCCCCGUUUCCCGGCCGGUGUCAGUGUCCCUGGGCAGGUGCGGCUGUGGCCGUGCCGGUGUCCCCGUGCCGGUGCCGCUGUUCCGGUGUCCCGGUCUCUCUGUCCCGGUGCCGGUCCCGCCCCGCCCGCGGCGGCCCCACGCGGACACGUGCGCGGCCGCACGUGCCUCCGGCCGGGCCCCGCCCCGCCCCGCUCCUAUUGGCCGUAG
RNAcentral lists this long non-coding RNA (1053 nucleotides) under Camarhynchus parvulus. RNAcentral's name for it is "lncRNA (ENSCPVG00000018555.1)". Lineage: Eukaryota; Metazoa; Chordata; Aves; Passeriformes; Thraupidae. The record is from RNAcentral.